This 777-nucleotide ribosomal RNA is filed under the name uncultured bacterium. RNAcentral's name for it is "bacterial SSU rRNA". It matches the Rfam family "Bacterial small subunit ribosomal RNA", at positions 28 to 804 of the family's 1533-position model. The record is from RNAcentral.
GAUGAACGCUGGCGGCGUGCCUAACACAUGCAAGUCGAACGGGGUAUAUAAGCCGGAAGUUUUCGGAUGGAAGGUUAUAUACCUAGUGGCGGACGGGUGAGUAACGCGUGGGCAACCUGCCCCGUGCCGGGGGAUACCGCCUGGAAACAGGCGCUAAUACCGCAUAAGCGCAUACAGCCGCAUGGCAGUAUGCGGAAAGCUCCGGCGGCACGGGAUGGGCCCGCGCCCGAUUAGCCAGUUGGCGGGGUAACGGCCCACCAAAGCGACGAUCGGUAGCCGGCCUGAGAGGGCGGACGGCCACAUUGGGACUGAGACACGGCCCAAACUCCUACGGGAGGCAGCAGUGGGGAAUAUUGCACAAUGGGGGAAACCCUGAUGCAGCAACGCCGCGUGAGUGAAGAAGCGUUUCGGCGCGUAAAGCUCUGUCAGCGGGGAAGAAAGAAGACGGUACCCGACCAAGAAGCCCCGGCUAACUACGUGCCAGCAGCCGCGGUAAUACGUAGGGGGCGAGCGUUAUCCGGAAUUACUGGGUGUAAAGGGAGCGUAGACGGCGAAGUAAGCCUGAAGUGGAAGCCCGCGGCCCAACCGCGGAACUGCUUUGGGAACUGUUUAGCUGGAGUAUGGGAGGGGUAAGCGGAAUUCCUGGUGUAGCGGGGAAAUGCGUAGAUAUCAGGAGGAACACCGGUGGCGAAGGCGGCUUACUGGACCAUGACUGACGUUGAGGCUCGAAAGCGUGGGGAGCGAACAGGAUUAGAUACCCUAGUAGUCCACGCCGUA